UACAGAGGUCCCAAGCGUUGUUCGGAUUCACUGGGCGUAAAGCGUGCGCAGGCGGUUUGCUAAGACAGGUGUGAAAUCCCCGGGCUUAACCUGGGAACUGCGCUUGUAACUGGCAAGCUUGAGUGUGGCAGAGGGGGGUGGAAUUCCACGUGUAGCAGUGAAAUGCGUAGAGAUGUGGAGGAACACCGAUGGCGAAGGCAGCCCCCUGGGCUAACACUGACGCUCAUGCACGAAAGCGUGGGGAGCAAACAGG
This 253-nucleotide ribosomal RNA is filed under the name uncultured bacterium. RNAcentral's name for it is "partial 16S ribosomal RNA". It matches the Rfam family "Bacterial small subunit ribosomal RNA", at positions 524 to 776 of the family's 1533-position model. The record is from RNAcentral.